AUUGAACGCUGGCGGCAGGCCUAACACAUGCAAGUCGAGCGGAUGAAGGGAGCUUGCUCCUGGAUUCAGCGGCGGACGGGUGAGUAAUGCCUAGGAAUCUGCCUGGUAGUGGGGGAUAACGUCCGGAAACGGGCGCUAAUACCGCAUACGUCCUGAGGGAGAAAGUGGGGGAUCUUCGGACCUCACGCUAUCAGAUGAGCCUAGGUCGGAUUAGCUAGUUGGUAGGGUAAAGGCCUACCAAGGCGACGAUCCGUAACUGGUCUGAGAGGAUGAUCAGUCACACUGGAACUGAGACACGGUCCAGACUCCUACGGGAGGCAGCAGUAGGGAAUAUUGGACAAUGGGCGAAAGCCUGAUCCAGCCAUGCCGCGUGUGUGAAGAAGGUCUUCGGAUUGUAAAGCACUUUAAGUUGGGAGGAAGGGCAGUAAGUUAAUACCUUGCUGUUUUGACGUUACCAACAGAAUAAGCACCGGCUAACUUCGUG
RNAcentral lists this ribosomal RNA (484 nucleotides) under uncultured bacterium. Its description in RNAcentral is "partial 16S ribosomal RNA". It matches the Rfam family "Bacterial small subunit ribosomal RNA", at positions 30 to 507 of the family's 1533-position model. The record is from RNAcentral.